UACGUAGGGGGCGAGCGUUGUCCGGAAUUAUUGGGCGUAAAGAGCUCGUAGGCGGUUUGUCACGUCGGCUGUGAAAACCUAGGGCUCAACCCUGGGCCUGCAGCCGAUACGGGCAAACUAGAAUUCGGUAGGGGAGACUGGAAUUCCUGGUGUAGCGGUGAAAUGCGCAGAUAUCAGGAGGAACACCGGUGGCGAAGGCGGGUCUCUGGGCCGAUAUUGACGCUGAGGAGCGAAAGCGUGGGGAGCGAACAGG
Molecule: ribosomal RNA, 253 nt
Filed under: uncultured bacterium
Lineage: Bacteria
Description: partial 16S ribosomal RNA
Rfam family: Bacterial small subunit ribosomal RNA
Source: RNAcentral